UACGGAGGGUGCAAGCGUUAAUCGGAAUUACUGGGCGUAAAGGGCUCGUAGGCGGCCCUCUCAGUCGGAUGUGAAAUCCCCAGGCUCAACUUGGGAACGGCAUCCGAUACUGGAGGGCUUGAAUUCGGGAGAGGGAUGCAGAAUUCCAGGUGUAGCGGUGAAAUGCGUAGAUAUCUGGAGGAAUACCGGUGGCGAAGGCGGCAUCCUGGACCGAGAUUGACGCUGAGGAGCGAAAGCAUGGGGAGCGAACAGG
RNAcentral lists this ribosomal RNA (253 nucleotides) under uncultured bacterium. RNAcentral describes it as "partial 16S ribosomal RNA". It matches the Rfam family "Bacterial small subunit ribosomal RNA", at positions 524 to 776 of the family's 1533-position model. The record is from RNAcentral.